RNAcentral lists this unclassified non-coding RNA (323 nucleotides) under soil metagenome. RNAcentral describes it as "partial contains 5.8S ribosomal RNA, internal transcribed spacer 2, and large subunit ribosomal RNA". The stretch from base 1 to 120 matches the Rfam family "5.8S ribosomal RNA", at positions 35 to 154 of the family's 154-position model. The record is from RNAcentral.
GAUGAAGAACGCAGCGAAAUGCGAUAAGUAAUGCGAAUUGCAGAAUUCAGUGAGUCAUCGAAUCUUUGAACGCACAUUGCGCCCUGUGGUAUUUCGCAGGGCAUGCCUGUUCGAGCGUCAUUUCAACCCUCAAGCUCUGCUUGGUGUUGGGCCCUGCCCGCUGCGGCCGGCCCUAAAGACAGUGGCGGUGCCGCCUGGCCCUGAGCGUAGUACAUCUCUCGCUCCAGUGCCCGGUGGUAGCCUGCCAGAACCCCAACUCUCGUGGUUGACCUCGGAUCAGGUAGGGAUACCCGCUGAACUUAAGCAUAUCAAUAAGCGGAGGA